GGUUUUAUAGUUUAAUAAAAAUGUGGGUUUUGUAGUCCUAAGAUAACGGUUUUGUUUUUAACCU
This 64-nucleotide transfer RNA is filed under the name Anoplocephala magna. Its description in RNAcentral is "tRNA-Thr". Lineage: Eukaryota; Metazoa; Platyhelminthes; Cestoda; Cyclophyllidea; Anoplocephalidae. The record is from RNAcentral.